GAGGGAAAGUCUGGUGCCAGCAGCCGCGGUAAUACCAGCUCCAAUAGCGUAUAUUAAAGUUGUUGCAGUUAAAAAGCUCGUAGUUGGACUUGUGUGCGUUGUCUGGUGGUGGUCUGCGUCCAAAAGGGCGUUGCGACCGGCCCCAGCAUCGCCUGGGAAUUUGCAACUGGAUCGCCGCGGGUCUUAAUUGGCCUGGGGCGCUGUCGGGUUGCUCGUUUACUGUGAGAAAAUUAGAGUGUUCAAGGCAGGCGUGGAUUGCAAUUGGAUAUGUUGGCAUGGAAUAAUAAGAUAAGGCUCCGGUAUUUUGUUGGUUUUGACGCGCGGGAGUAAGGAUUGAGAAGGACUGUCGGUG
RNAcentral lists this ribosomal RNA (352 nucleotides) under uncultured Plasmodiophoridae. RNAcentral's name for it is "SSU rRNA". It matches the Rfam family "Eukaryotic small subunit ribosomal RNA", at positions 551 to 887 of the family's 1831-position model. Lineage: Eukaryota; Endomyxa; Phytomyxea; Plasmodiophorida. The record is from RNAcentral.